Molecule: transfer RNA, 63 nt
Filed under: Rugitermes sp.
Lineage: Eukaryota; Metazoa; Arthropoda; Insecta; Blattodea; Kalotermitidae
Also listed under: 1 other name
Description: tRNA-His
Source: RNAcentral
ACUUGAUUAGUUUAAUUUAAAACGUUGAUUUGUGGGGUCAAUAAUGUGUUUUUACAUCAGGUU